GGGAUGUGGCUCAGUGGUAGAUUACUUGCCUAGCAUGCACAAAGUCCUGGGUUUGCAUCCCAGCACCCA
This 69-nucleotide transfer RNA is filed under the name Marmota monax (woodchuck). RNAcentral describes it as "tRNA.Ala". Lineage: Eukaryota; Metazoa; Chordata; Mammalia; Rodentia; Sciuridae. The record is from RNAcentral.